Molecule: small RNA, 409 nt
Filed under: Pan troglodytes (chimpanzee)
Lineage: Eukaryota; Metazoa; Chordata; Mammalia; Primates; Hominidae
Description: processed transcript
Source: RNAcentral
AGUACAGCUUCGGCCGCCGCGCCGCCUGGCUUUCGUAUUCGUUGUUCUCGGCGGGCUGUGGGGCCUCCGCGCCGCGGCCGUUAGUCAUGUCGGAUUCUGGAAGUUACGGUCAGUCUGGGGGUGAGCAGCAAAGUUAUUCUACCUAUGGAAAUCCAGGCAACCAAGGCUAUGGACAAGCAUCACAAGUUAUUCACAGUCCUAUGGUGGUUAUGAGAAUCAAAAGCAGAGCUCAUAUAGCCAGCAACCAUAUAAUAACCAGGGACAGCAGCAAAACGUGGAAUCAUCAGGAAGCCAAGGUGGAAGAGCACCUUCCUAUGACCAGCCAGACUAUGGUCAACAAGAUUCAUAUGACCAGCAGUCAGGCUAUGAUCAACAUCAAGGCUCAUAUGAUGAGCAGUCAAAUUAUGAU